AUGCGUGACCUGACCUCACUGCUUGUGUCGCCCUCAGACCCCGUGAGCUCAGAGCGCUUCUUCACCGCGGCCGCAGACGGGAAAGCGUACCUGACCAUGGCUCCAGCCGCAGCGAUGCCCCCCGCGCCCUCAGACCAGGCGUUCCCGCCCGCCUCGGACUUCUCCUCCAAAGCGGUGCUGUGUCUGAUCGAGGCCGUCGGCCGCCGCUGGGGCCUCUACGAGACCCGCGAGCGCUCGCAGCUCUUCCAGAGCGUCCAGGAGGAGAUGGCCUCCAAGGGCCACGUGCUCCCAGUGGAGAAGAUCCGCCGCAAGUGGAACAACCUCAUCGUCACGUACAAGAGGGUCAAGGACCGCAGCAGGGAAACGGGACACGCCAAGACCUCCUGGGAGUUCUUCGAUCUGAUGGACGCCACGCUCUGCGACACCGUUGGUUCUCACGUCGUCAACAACAAGCGAAUCAGAGGCGGCGGCGCGGCGCCUGCGCUCACCUCUCCUCCGGCGAAGGUCGCGGCCAAAGCCCAGGCUCACAGAACCAACGCUGGGCUGAGCGGCGCUGGGGUGGGGGUGGGGGUGGGGGGUCACGGCGCCGCCAGUCACACCACAGCAACCAGCAGCUCGGAGCUCAGGCCGCUGGUGGUGAACGGGGACGCCGGCGCCACCCUUCAUCCGCCCUCUCCGUCGCUCAUGGCCCCUCCGUGUUUGACAGAACCCCCCUCCUCUCCAGCUCCCUUUGACUCGGCCAGCACCAGCACCGCGGACCCCCACGCGUCGCGGUACGCGGGCCACGACGCCGCCCCCUUUCUCCUCAACGUGGCCUCGCACGGCAGCAGGAAGGGCCUGCUGGGCCCGGCCCAGUCCUUCCCUGCCGCCUUCUCCUGCCUCGCCUCCCCCGGCGCCGGCGCCGCCUCGUCCCCGGCCCCGAACCCGAAGGCCGGGGAGCCGAGCGGCCCGCUGCAGGAGCUCCUGCUCCGGCAGGAGGAGCAGGCCCUCCUGGAGAGCACGGCGCGCCACAGGGCCGAGGCCAGAGAGAAGCGGCGCGAGCGCCGGGAGCUGAGGAUGGCCGAGUCGCUGGGCCGGAUCGCCACGGCGCUGGAGCUGCUGUCGUCCAAGCAGGACACGGUCAUCGCGCUGCUGCAGAGGCUGGCGGACCGCACCAAGUGA
Molecule: long non-coding RNA, 1161 nt
Filed under: Betta splendens (Siamese fighting fish)
Lineage: Eukaryota; Metazoa; Chordata; Actinopteri; Anabantiformes; Osphronemidae
Description: lncRNA (ENSBSLG00000002978.1)
Source: RNAcentral